GGUAGGCUUGGUAGGCAAAUCCGCCAAGCUAUUACUGAGAUCUGAUAGCAAGCCAGCUUGCUGGCGAAGUGGCAAAUACCCUGCUUCCAGGAAAAGCUUCUAAGCGAUAGUCAUAAACAAAUCGUACCCGAAACCGACACAGGUGGUCAGGUAGAGAAUACUAAGGCGCUUGAGAGAACUCUGCUGAAGGAACUAGGCAAAAUGGUACCGUAACUUCGGGAGAAGGUACGCUGCCGACGGUGAUUAAACUUGCUUUAUGAGCUGUUGGCAGUCGCAGAUACCAGGCUGCUGCAACUGUUUAUUAAAAACACAGCACUCUGCAAACACGAAAGUGGACGUAUAGGGUGUGAUGCCUGCCCGGUGCUGGAAGGUUAAUUGAUGGGGUUAGCGUAUGCGAAGCUCUUGAUCGAAGCCCCAGUAAACGGCGGCCGUAACUAUAACGGUCCUAAGGUAGCGAAAUUCCUUGUCGGGUAAGUUCCGACCUGCACGAAUGGCAUAAUGAUGGCAGCGCUGUCUCCAGCAGAGACUCAGUGAAAUCGAAAUCGCAGUGAAGAUGCUGUGUACCCGCGGCUAGACGGAAAGACCCCGUGAACCUUUACUACAGCUUUACAUUGAACUUUGACCUAACUUGUGUAGGAUAGGUGGGAGGCUUUGAAGUGUGAACGCCAGUUUGCAUGGAGCCAUCCUUGAAAUACCACCCUGGUUAUGUUGGGGUUCUAACUUAGAUACAACAAUAUCAAGGACAAUGUAUGGUGGGUAGUUUGACUGGGGCGGUCUCCUCCUAAAGAGUAACGGAGGAGUACGAAGGUGCGCUCAGAACGGUCGGAAAUCGUUCAAAGAGUAUAAAGGCAAAAGCGCGCUUAACUGCGAGACCCACAAGUCGAGCAGGUACGAAAGUAGGUCUUAGUGAUCCGGUGGUUCUGUAUGGAAGGGCCAUCGCUCAACGGAUAAAAGGUACUCUGGGGAUAACAGGCUGAUACCGCCCAAGAGUUCAUAUCGACGGCGGUGUUUGGCACCUCGAUGUCGGCUCAUCUCAUCCUGGGGCUGAAGCAGGUCCCAAGGGUAUGGCUGUUCGCCAUUUAAAGAGGUACGCGAGCUGGGUUUAGAACGUCGUGAGACAGUUCGGUCCCUAUCUACCGUGGGCGUUGGAAAUUUGAGAGGAUCUGCUCCUAGUACGAGAGGACCAGAGUGGACGAACCUCUGGUGUUCCGGUUGUUUCGCCAGAAGCAUUGCCGGGUAGCUAUGUUCGGAUGGGAUAACCGCUGAAAGCAUCUAAGCGGGAAGCCCACCUCAAGAUAAGAUUUCCCUAAAGAGCCGUUGUAGACGACGACGUUGAUAGGUUGGGUGUGGAAGCAUGGUGACAUGUGUAGCUAACCAAUACUAAUUGCUCGUUUGGCUUGACCAU
Molecule: ribosomal RNA, 1405 nt
Filed under: Moraxella ovis
Lineage: Bacteria; Pseudomonadati; Pseudomonadota; Gammaproteobacteria; Moraxellales; Moraxellaceae
Description: bacterial LSU rRNA
Rfam family: Bacterial large subunit ribosomal RNA
Source: RNAcentral